Molecule: RNA transcript, 2718 nt
Organism: Juglans regia (Persian walnut)
Lineage: Eukaryota; Viridiplantae; Streptophyta; Magnoliopsida; Fagales; Juglandaceae
Gene name: beta-hexosaminidase 2
Exons: 6
Source: RefSeq, a predicted model, not a curated record
AUAUUGGUUUCAAACGCCCCAUUCGGAAUAGAAGUCACCGCAACAAAGCAGCAUUGUUGCAAAAAUGGAGUCGAUGCUUGUCAUCAUACGCCUAGCAUUGUGCUUAUUGGCACUUUUUCAACUCUCCUCUGGCUCUGGAGUCAACGUGUGGCCAAAACCAAGGACCUUCUCAUGGCCCAACCCUCAGGCCACGCUGCUCUCACCUGCCUUCACUAUUGCUGCUCCCAACCACACCUUCCUCUCCUCCGCCGUCGAACGCUACCUCCGCCUUGUCCACACCGAGCACCAUUUUCCCCUUGUCAACCCCUCCGUCAACCUCACCCCCUCCAAUCUUCCUCCUCUCCGCACCCUUUCCAUCGUCGUCUCCGACCUCAAAGCCCCGCUCCAACAUGGAGUGGAUGAGUCCUACAGCCUCUCCAUUCCCACUUCGGGGCCAGCUAAACUUACGGCGAAUACCGCGUGGGGUGCCAUGAGGGGCCUCGAGACGUUCUCGCAGCUCGUCUGGGGCUAUCCCUCUGUGGUGGCGGUGGGCGUGUACGUUUGGGAUGCUCCGCUCUUUGGGCACCGAGGAAUUAUGCUGGAUACGUCUAGGAACUAUUACCCGGUGAAGGAUAUAUUGAGGACGAUCGGGGCGAUGAGUGCCAACAAGCUCAACGUGUUCCAUUGGCACAUCACGGAUUCCCAUUCGUUCCCGCUGGUGGUGCCGUCGGAACCUGAUCUGGCGGCCAAGGGGUCUUAUGGCCCUGAUAUGCAGUACUCCCCCAAUGAUAUAAAGACGAUUGUGCAGUUUGGUUUGGAGCACGGCGUUAGAGUUCUCCCGGAGAUCGAUUCCCCCGGCCAUACGGGAUCUUGGGCGGAAGCUUACCCAGAGAUUGUGGCAUGUGCAAACAUGUUCUGGUGGCCUGCAGGAAGCGAGUGGGCAGACCGGCUUGCCUCUGAACCAGGAACCGGCCAUUUGAACCCCUUGAACCCCAAGACGUACCAAGUCUUGAAAAACGUCAUCCACGACGUGGCCGAGUUAUUCCCAGAGCCAUUCUUCCACGCCGGAGCGGAUGAGAUCAUUCCUGGUUGUUGGAAAGCCGAUCCAGCCAUCAAUUUCUUCCUCUCAAAUGGUGGAACUCUCAGUCAGCUCCUGGAGAUCUUUGUCAACUCAACUCUCCCUUAUAUUCUAUCCCUUAACCGAACUGUGGUUUAUUGGGAGGAUGUUCUGCUUGAUGACAAUGUCAAGGUCCCAACAACAGUUCUUCCAAAAGAGCAUACAAUUUUACAAACUUGGAAUAAUGGCCCUAGCAAUACCAAGCGGAUUGUUUCUUCUGGGUACAAGACCAUUGUGUCCUCUUCAGACUUCUAUUAUCUGGAUUGUGGGCAUGGUGACUUUCUGGGGAAUGACAGCCAAUAUAUAGCCGGUGCUAAGUCUAAAGAUGGUGGCUCAUGGUGUGGACCUUUCAAGACAUGGCAGACCAUAUAUAACUAUGAUAUAACGUAUGGGUUGAGCAAGGAGGAGGCCAAACUUGUGUUAGGUGGGGAGGUGGCACUGUGGUCCGAGCAAGCAGAUCGUACGGUUUUAGAUGCAAGGAUUUGGCCUAGAGCUUCAGCAAUGGCAGAGACACUCUGGUCUGGUAACCGGGAUGAGAUGGGUAUGAGGAGGUAUGCAGGGGCAACAGAUAGGUUGAACGAGUGGAGGUAUAGAAUGGUGCAAAGAGGUGUCAAAGCUGAACCGCUUCAGCCACUUUGGUGCGUUAGGAACCCAGGAAUGUGCAACACAGUUCAAGGCUUCUAGCUGGCUAUUUCUUUCUUGUAUGUUAAAAAUGUCAACGACCUUGCAUCUAUUUCUUGGUCAAGAUAGAUGAAAAAAAAAAACCCAAAUCUUGUAAUCGAUUUAUUUCUUCAGUUUCUUCAAUUUACAAUGGACAACAAGCUCCAAUUUGUGGCAUUCAAAAGUGUUGGUGGUGUUAAUUGACAAUGGGAUAGAUUGAGGUCAGACUAACCGAUGGGGCUUCUCUUUAUUCAUUUUGCCGAUCAUUGUUGAGGAAUGGUUUUCCAGAAGAAGUCAGGACUAGAAAUCUGUUGAGCAUUUAUUGCUGCAAAAUCUUUUUGAAAAGACAUAUCAAGCAUCCUAUAAUGUUCAAGCGCGGCUUUCUUGCACUUGAUUGGGAGAGACUUCUGAGCACUCCCAAGUUACUUCCAAGCAUGCUAAAUCACUUCCGAGCAUUUGGUCGGGCCUUUACUAGGGGCCAUGGGAAAACAGAUUUCAAGCACUUGCUCGGUUUCGCAUCACAGUGUGGGAAUGAACUCCGAGCUUUAGCUUGGAUGCGAAGUAGGGCAGGGAACAUGUUCCAAGUACUUGCUUAAACUUGUAAUGUUUUGCAUGUUGUUUGCCUAUUGCCCGGUUUGCCUUAUGCCUUGCUUGCCCAUCUCAUUGCUCACUUAUGCUCAGUCCUCGCCUAGUGUUUUGAUUGCUUAUCCAUUUACUCAUCAAACGAUUUGCUCGUUUACCCUUGCUCGCCCGGUAAGACUUUCCCUUAUUCCCGAGAUUAAAAUGGUUGAUACGGUUAAGUUGCUACCAUGUGAGGUGUUACUACUACUGUUGGACGCAUUUCUCACAUCAUUGAUCAAGAGGAAAUCCGGUUGAUGGGAGGAUUGUUUGGGUUGUUUGCGGAUAAAUGUGCAUAGAAUUGUUUGUUUGCUUAGUAGAUUGUGUAUUUCACUAUUUGCUUA